AAGUCGUAACAAGGUUUCCGUAGGUGAACCUGCGGAAGGAUCAUUAAAAUAAUAAUGAAUGUCGGGGAGGGCGCUUCGGUGCAAUCCCCGUGUAUUCAACCAAAUCCGCUCGUGUAUUUGGAUCAAAAAAACAAACAAAAUCUUUAACGAUAAUAAUUUUAAACAAACUUUCAACAACGGAUCUCUUGGCUCUC
RNAcentral lists this unclassified non-coding RNA (194 nucleotides) under Paraglomus sp. RNAcentral describes it as "partial internal transcribed spacer region". The stretch from base 1 to 46 matches the Rfam family "Eukaryotic small subunit ribosomal RNA", at positions 1786 to 1831 of the family's 1831-position model. The record is from RNAcentral. Lineage: Eukaryota; Fungi; Glomeromycota; Glomeromycetes; Paraglomerales; Paraglomeraceae.